This 87-nucleotide small RNA is filed under the name Mesoflavibacter zeaxanthinifaciens subsp. sabulilitoris. RNAcentral's name for it is "Flavo-1 RNA". It matches the Rfam family "Flavo-1 RNA". The record is from RNAcentral. Lineage: Bacteria; Pseudomonadati; Bacteroidota; Flavobacteriia; Flavobacteriales; Flavobacteriaceae.
UGUUGGCUGAAAUGUGCGUUAGCGAUAGUAGUGACAUCCUUUUUGUUUAUUGAAAACAAAAAGAUAUAACGGAUAGCGCGACCCGAU